GAAAAAUGUAUGGUAAAUCCUUCUCUUUAAUCACUAAAGGCCCAUAAAACUCAAAAAUACUCCAUAGUGUAGGUGUAAAUUUUAUCAGGUUAUAAAAUCUUACAAACUCGGUUUACAUUCAGUAAAAGAUCCUCGAAGUCAAUGAAAAAGAAGAUUCGAAUUAGAGGGACAUCAGGUAGGUCUUCUAUUGGAAACCAUCUAUAGCCAUC
Molecule: long non-coding RNA, 209 nt
Filed under: Mytilus galloprovincialis (Mediterranean mussel)
Lineage: Eukaryota; Metazoa; Mollusca; Bivalvia; Mytilida; Mytilidae
Source: RNAcentral